AUGUUGUUUAACAUCAUGUUUUACGAGUUAGGAUAUUAUUUGGAGCUUGCUAUAAUUUCUCCCUAAUUUUGGUAAUAUUUCAUGAUUUUUGUAGGGAAUCAAAAGAUGAGAUAAGAAGUUGGUUCAACUUAUUGGAUGAUGAUUCACAUUCAAUUUGACUCCAACUCAUUGAGCUUGAACCAAAUCAAAUUCCUCUCACCAAACCCUAAACCUCAUUUGAACCCAACCUAAACCCACUGUUCACCCGGUUAAAAAACAAGUAUAAAACCCAAUUUCUUCGCGGAUGAACAGUGGCUUGCGCUACUGUUCAUCCGCGACUUCCUUCCUUCCGCGCUAUUGCAGCCCCCAUCCUCUUCCAGAUCUACUUCUCAGCAAGUUUCAUUGGCGUCGGAGCUUUCAUCCGUUGGCUUCCAAGAUUAGAUUGUCUGCACGCGCCGACAAUUAUCCCUCCGGAGCUCAGAUCUGUGAGCAAUUUCUCUGUUUCAGCCAUCAGCAGAGGAAUUUCUCCGUUGAUAGUGGCUCGCCCUCAAUCUGAGAGUAUCGAUCCAGAGAAUUUAGAUUUCAGAUCUGCAGAAUUUCAAACUUGCAGUUCAGCUCGUCAUCAGCUUUUCCAGAGAAUCCAGCUCAUCAGAUCUGCAGAAUUCUUUGGUGCUGAAGGAGAUUGAACUGAGUUCAAUGGUUGAUAGCUUUUCCUUCAAGUCCGAAGUCCUCGUGUAAUAAGUUACUUGAUCUUGAUCCAGAAAUUGAAAGAACCUUCAGAGCUUUGAGAAUUCAAGAAAAAAAUUCAGAGGACUCAAGAAGUUCUUUAUCAUCUUCAGAUACCCCCAUGGUUGAUCAUAGCAGAACAAUGAAGGAGCUUGCAUCUCCUGAUGAGGCUUUCAAGUAUUCUUACAUUACUUAUCCAGACUUGGCAGGAGACUUCGAGCUUAGAUCUGGUUUGAUUCAUCUGCUUCCUAAAUAUCAAGGAUUGUCUGGAGAAGACCCAAAUAGACAUUUGCAUGAAUUCCAUGUGGUGUGUUCAACCAUGAAGCCACAGGGUAUUUCAGAAGAAGAUAUCAAGCUAAGGGCUUUUCCAUUUUCAUUAACUAGAGUAGCUAAAGAUUGGUUGUAUUAUUUGCCACCAGGAUAUAUCACUUCUUGGAUUGAUAUGAAGAAGACUUUCUUGGAGAAAUUCUUUCCAGCUUCAAGGACUGCAAUUAUCAGGAAAAGUAUCUGUGGGAUUCAGCAAGUGGUGGGAGAGACAUUAUACGAUUAUUGGGAGCGAUUCAAGAAAUUAUGUUCAAGUUGUCCUCAACACCAGAUCAGUGAGCAGCUACUAGUCCAAUACUUCUAUGAGGGUUUACUACCUAUGGACAGGAGUAUAAUAGAUGCAGCAGCUCGAGGAGCUUUAGUGAACAAGACUCCAGAACAAGCUAGGGAGCUUAUUUCAAACAUAGCAGAAAAUUCACAACAAUUUAGAAGUAGAGCUUUCACAACAAGAGGGGUUGGAGAGGUUUAAAUGGUUUCCAAUGAACAAAAGGAGAUAAGAAGCUCAUUGUUGGAGUUAACAUAUUUGGUGAAGCAAUUGGCAUUAAACAAUGCUAAUCAAGUUUCUAUUUUGCCAAGCACACAGUUUCCGUAUCAAUCAAAGGGAGUUUGUGGCAUUUGUUCAAGCCAAGACCACAAUUCAGAGUAGUGCCCAAAUCUUCAUCAAGAUGAGUCAGUAGCAGCAUUUUCUAGAGCUCAAUUUCCUCAAAAAUAUGACCCCCAUUCCUCUACUUAUAAUCCUGGUUAGAGAGAUCAUCCCAAUUUUAAGUAUAGCAACUCAUUUUAUCAGUAAUCACCUUCGAAUCAGAAUUUUCAGCAACUUCAACAGGGAUUCCAGCAUCAGAAUCAACAUUUCCAGCACCCUUACCAACCUGCAAAUCAAUUUCAGCAACAAUUUCAGCCUUAUCAGCAGUUUCCAAAUCAAAAUCAGCAAUGACAAUUCCAGAAUCAGGGUGUUCAGCAAGAGCAAAAUGUAAUUCAAAAUGCACUUCCAGCACCUUCAAGAUUAAGUUUGACUCAAGGAAGUUCUAAUAGCUCUUCAAAUUCGGAUACACAACAGAAGAUGGAUGAUUUGAUGCAACAUAUUUGACAACAGCAGCAAUUGUUUUUACAGCAGCAGCAACAUCCGCAAAGGAUAGAUUCAGCUUUGCAAAACAUUGAAAGACAGAUUAGCCAGCUAGCAAUGAAUAUAAAUCAAAUGCAAGCUCAAGGUUCAAGUAAAUUACCUUCUCAAACAAUGCCAAACCCAAAAAAUGUGAGUACGUUGACUCUUCGAAGUGGAAAAACCAUAACAGAACCAAUAAAAAAUGUUCCAAUUGGAUCAUAUUUUGUUGCACCAAUUCCAGAUUCGCAUUCGAAAGAAUUUGUACCAAGAAAAUUGAAUUCAGAACCCACUCAACCAGUUCAGAUCAGUGGAAGUGAUACAUCAGAACAAACUUCAACAACUUUUUGUUCAGCAGAACAAGAUGGCUCACAUUCAGCUCCAAUUUCAGCUCAAAAUAUAGGGAAAGAAUCACAACAGCAAGGUAUUGAGGUUGCUGUACCAUUACCUUUUCCUCAAAAAAGAGUCCAGCAAAGGAAAAAUGUUGAGGAAGAGAAAGCUAGGGAAUUUCAAGAACUCGUUAAUUUGUUUAGCAAAGUGGAGGUGAAUGUGCCCUUGUUAACCAUAAUAUAACAAGUUCCGAAAUAUGCAAAAUUUCUCAAGGAUGUAUGUUUGCAUAAGAAUAAAUUAAAGGGGAAUGAACUAGUUAGCAUGGGAAAAAAUGUUUCAGCCCUUAUUCAACCCAUUCCUCAGAAGUGUGAUGAUCCAGGAGUUUUCACCGUGCCAUGUACUAUUGGAAAUUAUGUGUUUGAGGACGCUAUGCUGGAUUUAGGAGCUUCUAUUAAUGUAAUGCCGAAAUUAGUUUUUCUAUCAUUGGGAAUUGGUCCUCUAUAGCCUACGGGAGUUGUUAUUCAGUUGGGCAACCGUAGUCAGGCUCAUCCAACUAGAGUGAUUGAGAAUGUUUUGGUUAAAGUGAGUGACCUUAUAUUUCCAGUUGAUUUCUACAUUUUGGAUAUGGAAGGUGAUGUAUUAAUGAGUAGAGCUCCAAUCAUUUUGGGAAGACCAUUCCUUAAGACUGCAAGAACUAAGAUUGAUGUGAAUGCGGGAACUCUAUCUAUGGAGAUUGCUGAUGUAGUUGUUCAAUUCAGUAUUUUUGAUACGAUGCAACAAAAGAAGAGUCAUUCUAUUUUUAGUGUUUAUAAAUCCGAAUGGCUGGAUACUAUUGAUUUUCUUAUUGAUGAAGAUUCUGAUGAAGUUAUCUCAGACUCUAAUGAAUUGGGAUGUAAAUCUAAACAUUCUGGAGGUUGUAUUGAUAACAGGGAAAUAGUUGAGGUAAGACCUAAUUGUGGUCAAACUUCAAUGGAUGAAGAUAUAAGUGUAGGGGAUUGCAUGGAAGCAUUACCCCAAGAAUCACCAAAAAUUGAAUCUAUAAGUGUAGGGGAUUGCAUGGAUGCAUUACCUCAAGAAUCACUACCAUUCAUUGAACAUUCAUCAGAACUUGAUAAGAAAUCACAGGAAAUUUCAAAGGACAUUUCAGAGGAAGUUGUGAAGCCAGUGAGACAACCAAAGGAACUGAUUAACUCAUCGAAUUCUUUUUGUAUUAGCAAUAUUUUUUCUAAUGGUGUUAUAGAGAUGCAGGAGGUGUCUACUGGUCAACCUUUCAAAGUGUAUAGCAACCAACUUAAGAAAUUUCUUCGAGGGAGGAAAUUAAUCUGAGUGGAGAUAGUGAAGCACGUUGAUACUAUCUACCCAAAUUGAAGGGGAGUUCGUUCCAACUUAGGUUUUGUUUUUGCUUUCACACAAAUAAUAAUUCUUUGCUUUCACAACUUAGCUUUUAGUUCGUUUCUUAUAGCUUGCUUAGUUUCUUAAUAAAUUCUUUGUUUACAAAUAAUAAGUUUAGUAUAGGGAAAUAAAUUCUUUACUGUUUACAAUUUCCUUAUAGAACUAAGUUUGAAUUCGGAAUAAAAAAAUGGUACCCCUUGGACAAGUUUUCCUAUAAUAUGUUAGAAGUAGAGAAUGUGAGCUAUAUUUGAGAAUCUAUUUUGGGCUUAAUGUCAUAAAUGGACUUUUAAUUUUCAUAAAGUUUCUACUUAAUGAAGGACACUUGAUUGGUAAAUUGAAAUGAUACUUUUCAUACCUAGUGAGGAUGAGCUUUAAUUGAGUGAUGCACUUGUGUUAUUACACUCUAGAACUUGCUUUGAUUCUUUCAAAACCACAAUCUAAUGGAUUAAAUCAUGUUUAUGAAGGUAAAUCUAUUUGUUUCUUCCUUUCACAUGAAUUCUUGCUAUUCUUCUUGAUAAUCAUCAUACCAAUUUAUGCCUUCUCCUUUGUAAAUCUUUUGGAUGUGGAUACAUGGUUUGUUAUAUGAUGGAUAUUUUGGCAAGGAGGAUUUAGUUGAAGUGUGGGGGAAAGAAUUUUUGGAUGAUAUUUGUGGAUUACAUUUUGGAUGCAUGAAGAAAAUUGGAGUGGUUCAAGAAUGUGAUCUUAGGAAGCUAGAUGGAAAGGAAGUGAGAAUUUUGGCAGCUAAAUGAUGUGUAGUUGACACAAAGUCAGAGGUGCUAUAUGGAAAUUCAUAAAUUGUACUAAACUGUGCUACAUGUCGUAUAAAUGAUGAUCUUGUUUCUCUAUAACUUGCAUGAAUUGUGGACUGUGAAAUAGACACAGAAACAGUGAAGAUUCAGAAAUAAUGAAAAUGGAAGCUUAUGUAUCAAAAGUGUAUCAAGAUUUGGAAGUGUUGUCAAGCAUCAGAUAAAGUUCAAGGGGAAUAUGUCAAUAUGAAUAAACAAAUGGUAUUAAAAGAUCAAUGACUGAAAAGGAAGCAGAUUACAAGUAAUUCAGAAUCUAAAAAUUUCACAUUCUGAAAAUGUACAGAAUUUCAGAACCUGGAGUUGAGGGUUGCAGUUAAAUCUGUUUAUGAUCUGAACUGAAUAGAUGUUGAUGUCAUCUUAAUUCAAUCCGAGACGAAAUGAAGUUUAAGUGUGGGGGAGAGCUUGAGCUUUAUUUGAAGUUGAGCAGUGGAUUUGAAUUCUGGAAUUGAGUGAUGUUGAUAAUGAAACAAGCUGAAAAUUGCUAAAUCUGAUCAAAAUGGAUUAAAUUCGAAAAUCAUUUGUAAGAGCACCAUUCCAUCUCAUUGAUCCAGCAAUCCUGCAGAUUCUUUUGCAAUCAAAUUCUGAAACUUAAAAUGUGAAAUCUGCAGAUUCUUUGGCAGAUUCUGAAGCUUUAUCAAGGCUUGCAUGAUGAAAAGUUUGUAGAGAGAUGAAUUGUUUGGCUGGAUCAAGAACAAUAAUUUUAACCUUAGGCCUGAUGUUUCUGUAAUUCAGGAUAUUUUAAAUAUCAGACCAAAUAGCAGAAACUCUGAAAUCUGAAGAAAAUGGAACUGCAGAUCCAGGAAAUGCAGAAAUGUUAAGUCUUAAUUCAGGAAAAUGCAAUUAUGUAUCAGUUUGGUGCAAAGAUUGUGUUGCAAGUUCUGACCAGUAAUUAUUUCAUUGCUAUUCUAUAUCAUCUUCCUUGCAAGACUAUUCAUGACAAGUUUGCUGAAGAGUUUUCUGAAUAUUGAAAUGCAAUGUAUAUUCUGGAAAUGAAUCUUAAGCUGUAGCAGUGAAGAAAAUGUAGCUUUCGAAAAAGAUUUAUAAAUCUGUUCGUCUGAGAAAAAUCAAAUCAAUCAACACCAUUUUAGGCCUGAUAUGUUAACUAUUAGGCUCAGAAAAAUUCAAGAAAGGGAAGCUGAGUUGCUCACUAUGCAGAAUUGUAUCAGGGAUCUAUAUUGAUUUUCUGAUUGGGAAGGAAUUGAAGACAAACUAUAUCUGAUUGUGUGUAGAAUAAGAAAUUUUAUUGAGGUUAAAGUUUCAAAGUUUGGUCUGAAAUUCUAAGAAGAUCAGAGAAGUGGUACUAAAACAGUAAAAGCUGAAAUUCAGAAUUGAUAUUGUUGUGAACCUGAAAGAGCUUAAGUGAUCAUUGAACAUUCGACUUAGAAAUUCUGUAGUUUUGCAAGUUUUGGAUUCUCUACAAACUGAUUUGUACCAAGUUCAAGUUGGAAAUCAGAAAUGUUGAACAAAAAAUUGCAGGAAACUAAAUUUCAGGUCUAACAGCAACAGUCUGGAAAAUGAAGCUGGAAAACAGAAAUGCAGUGCUAAAAACAGAGAGGCAAAAUGAUGAAACAGUGAGUUCUUUGGAUUUCUUGCUAAUGAAAUUCUGAAAUACUGAAUUUGCAAAUGCUAAAAGAGUAAUCUGAUCAUUGCUGAAAAUUUCAGCCAAUGCAGAAUUCAGGAAGUGCAGGAUUGUGUAUCAAGAUGUAUCAAAGAUCAAGAACAUCACUUAUAUCAGAAUUCCUUUAACUUCUUUGAAUAUGAUUUUACAACCCUGGAACCUUUGAAACUGAAUUUUGGAAAUAUUUAGCUGGAUCCAUUACUUCGAUUCUGUUACUUCAUUGCAGCAACAAGCUGAAACAUAGAUUUUCAGAAACUCUGAAGUCUGAUCAAGCUACUGAAAAUUUCUGAAUGUACAGAAGAACUUAAGGAACUAGAACUUAAACAUUCACUUGCAGGAAUUCAGAAGUGAAUUGCAGUUUUGAUGAUGGAAAAGUUUGUUGGUUUCCUAACAGUUACACAGUAGGGGAAGACAUCUAUUGGCUAUUACCUUGUGAGAAUCAGAGGUUGCAAAGAUAUUGCACAGUGAUGCAUUAAAGAGUUCUGUUUUGCUGGAAACUGAGUUAUAAAGGAUGAAUUGUAUUUAAGAAACAUUCAAGAUUGUAUUAAUAUAAAGGAUUGUAUCAUAAGCUUUGGAAACAAAUGAUUUCAGUUGAAGAUCGAGUUUCCUUAAUGUGUUUCUUAUCGUAUACAUUCUGAAACUGAAAAUGAGUGAAGUACUAAUCUGGGUAGUGCAGAAGAAAUGAAUUUCUGGUCCUUGUUGAAUUCUGAAGGUAGCUGAUCGAAAUGUGAUUCUAGUAAUUAAUUGAUAUGUGAAGUGCUAUUGACAUAUGUUUUUAAGAGAUUCUAAAAAAGGAAAAAAUGUUGACACUGUAAAUACAGAAAUCUGUAGUUUUCUGUGCAGAUUUUGUACAUUUUUUGGAAAAUGUGUUAUAGCAGGCUUGGGUUGUUUAUAUCCAUGUCUGAUCUAAAUGGGGAUUGAUUUCAUUUUUUUUUUAUUGAUUGAAUGUUAAAUGAGGGAAUUGGACAAGUUUAACUAUUCAGUCCUCAAGCUAGAAUGACUUGGAAUUCCAAAUCUUGAUACACUAUGCUAAUUUCUUGAAGUUGCAGAAGGAUGCAGGAAAUCAAGGAAACAGAACACAACAACAAUUACAAAUCUGUUCCUAUCGUUAAUAUAUCAAUUUGAAGAGCAUUUGUUGAAUUUCAUUGCCCGAGACGAGCAAAGAUUUAAGUGUGGGGGAGGGUGUGUAGUUUUUAUUGAGUACUUUGGUACAAGAUGGAAAUACUGAAAUCUGCAAGUGCUGUGCAGAAAUGGGAACAAAGCAACAAAAUAGAAUUUGAAACGGAAUUUUGAAAAAAAAAACAUUCAAGAAACUGUUACUUAUCAGUAUUGCUUUGAAUUGGAUAAAAGGAUUAGGACAUGGAAGUUUAGACAAGAUUAGAUGAAUUGGAUUAAAAAUCCGUUAUAAGUUGGUGAUUUGAAAAUUCUAAAGAUUGAGUCUGAUACAAAAUGUGAAGGCAUGUUUUAGUCUAGAUUCAUGAAAUACAUAGAUCAAUUCCAUUUUAGAAGUUUUGUAGAUACUGAAAGUGGGCUCAUAAUGGUUUUGUAAUGCUGAAUCAGUAGCAUUAAGUGCUGGAAACCGAAAUUCAGUACCUAAAAUUCCUUGAAUCAACUUCUGAAACUUAGUUUGGAAAUUCUUGAACUGUUCCUGAUGAUUCUUGAAACUAUUGAUUACUGAUAUGGUACUAAGUUCUGGAUUAGAAUUUGAUUACAACUUUCAGAGAUGUAGAGCAAAUAGCAGAAAUUUAUCACAUGUCUGUUAAUUAACAAACCUGCAAAUUUAGAAUAGGAAAUCUUUAAUUCAUGACAUGGCUAUUUAGGUUUAUACACCAAGAAAGCAGAGUUCAAACAGAACUGGUACAUUUGAAAUGAAGUUAGGAAGGAAGAAAAUAAGGAAGUAUUGCUGAAAUUCAUUAGAUAGCAUUUUUAUGUAUCCAUGUCUUCCACUGGAACUUAAAUUCAUACUUUCUUUCUUAUCUUUUCUUUGUUGCUAAUUCUUUCUUUUCUUAUCUUUUCUUGCAACUAAUGCUUUAAUGUGCACUUAAUUCAUAUCUCCUAUUUCUUCAUGAUUAACCUUCAUAUUGUGAUUUGUAUUCAUGAUCAUGGUAGAGAGUAGAAGAUAAGCAAGCUUAUGGUAAGGUAAGAAGCACCAGUAGCAUGAGUGCCCUCCAUUUUUUGUAAUUACAUGUGAGAUAGGAAGAGGGCCACAAAAACUCUAUCUUGUGAGGUUUUUAGUGUGAAAUCAAUUUCAAUUUAUUCAUAAUUGAUGGAAAUUAUUAUGUUGUUAACCAAGAGUAAAGUUUGAAGUCCACGAAUGCAUGAGAUUUUGGAAUGUGAUAAUCUUAGAUGGUUUACUUUCUUUAUUUUCUAAUCAUGUUUAGGAAGUUGUUUAGGGGGUGCCAUUUAAGUAGGAUUUUUAGUCUUUCUUUACUCGCACGAGACGUGCAAGAAUAAGUGUGGGAGAUUUGAUAAUUGUCAUUUAUUGAUGUUAUUAUAGCUCUUAUACUCAGCAUUUUCUUAUCCUCUCCUGCAGUUAAAUGUUGUUUAACAUCAUGUUUUACGAGUUAGGAUAUUAUUUGGAGCUUGCUAUAAUUUCUCCCUAAUUUUGGUAAUAUUUCAUGAUUUUUGUAGGGAAUCAAAAGAUGAGAUAAGAAGUUGGUUCAACUUAUUGGAUGAUGAUUCACAUUCAAUUUGACUCCAACUCAUUGAGCUUGAACCAAAUCAAAUUCCUCUCACCAAACCCUAAACCUCAUUUGAACCCAACCGAAACCCACUGUUCACCCGGUUAAAAAACAAGUAUAAAACCCAAUUUCUUCGCAGAUGAACAGUGGCUUGCGCUACUGUUCAUCCGCGACUUCCUUCCUUCCGCGCGAUCGUAGCCCCCAUCCUCUUCCAGAUCUACUUCUCAGCAAGUUUCAUUGGCGUCAGAGCUUUCAUCCGUUGGCUUCCAAGAUUAGAUUGUCUGCACGCGUCGGCAAUUAUCCCUCUGGAGCUCAGAUCUGUGAGUGAUUUCUCUGUUUCAGCCAUCAGCAGAGGAAUUUCUCCGUUGAUAGUGGCUUGCCCUCAAUCUGAGAGUAUCGAUCCAGAGAAUUUAGAUUUCAGAUCUGCAGAAUUUCAAACUUGCAGUUCAGCUCAUCAUCAGCUUUUCCAGAGAAUCCAGCUUGCCAGAUCUGCAAAAUUCUUUGGUGCUGAAGGAGAUUGAACUGAGUUCAAUGGCUGAUAGCUUUUCCUUCAAGUCCGAAGUGAGGUUUCAUUAAGGGUCCUUGUGUGAUGGCAAGGAGAGGCUUGUUAGAAGAGUAGAUUUGAUUAGAGAUGGCUUAGAUUUUAGUUCUGCAGUUUAUUGUUUCUGCAUCUUUGUUUUCUUUAGAUCUUGCUAUCAAAAUUCUUGUUCUCUAAUUCUGAACUAUGUAGUUCUAGUUUUGUUA
Molecule: long non-coding RNA, 9699 nt
Organism: Zingiber officinale
Lineage: Eukaryota; Viridiplantae; Streptophyta; Magnoliopsida; Zingiberales; Zingiberaceae
Exons: 2
Source: RefSeq, a predicted model, not a curated record